UAGAAAGGAAACAUAUAAAAUACAUGGUUC
This 30-nucleotide non-coding RNA is filed under the name Mus musculus (house mouse). Lineage: Eukaryota; Metazoa; Chordata; Mammalia; Rodentia; Muridae. The record is from RNAcentral.